AUUGAACGCUGGCGGCAUGCUUUACACAUGCAAGUCGAACGGAAGCGCGGGCUUCGGCCUGGCGGCGAGUGGCGCACGGGUGAGUAAUGCAUCGGAACGUGCCCCGCAGUGGGGGAUAGCCCGGCGAAAGCCGGAUUAAUACCGCAUACGACCUGCGGGUGAAAGCGGGGGACCGAAAGGCCUCGCGCUAUUGGAGCGGCCGAUGUCGGAUUAGCUAGUUGGUGGGGUAAAGGCUUACCAAGGCGACGAUCCGUAGCUGGUCUGAGAGGACGACCAGCCACACUGGGACUGAGACACGGCCCAGACUCCUACGGGAGGCAGCAGUGGGGAAUUUUGGACAAUGGGGGCAACCCUGAUCCAGCCAUGCCGCGUGCGGGAAGAAGGCCUUCGGGUUGUAAACCGCUUUUGUUCGGGAAGAAAUCCUCUGGGCUAAUACCCCGGGGGGAUGACGGUACCGGAAGAAUAAGCACCGGCUAACUACGUG
RNAcentral lists this ribosomal RNA (484 nucleotides) under uncultured bacterium. RNAcentral describes it as "partial 16S ribosomal RNA". It matches the Rfam family "Bacterial small subunit ribosomal RNA", at positions 28 to 507 of the family's 1533-position model. The record is from RNAcentral.